CAAAAAGUAGUUUAAUUAAAAUACCUGCUUUGGGAGUGGAUGAUUUGGGGUACCAACUUUUUGA
This 64-nucleotide transfer RNA is filed under the name Myadora brevis. RNAcentral's name for it is "tRNA-Pro". The record is from RNAcentral. Lineage: Eukaryota; Metazoa; Mollusca; Bivalvia; Myochamidae.